GCGUUAUCCGGAUUUAUCGGGUUUAAAGGGAGCGUAGGCCGGAGGGUAAGCGUGUUGUGAAAUGCAGUUGCUCAACAUCUGCACUGCAGCGCGAACUGUUCUCCUUGAGUGCGCAGGAAGUAGGCGGAAUUCGUCGUGUAGCGGUGAAAUGCUUAGAUAUGACGAAGAACUCCGAUUGGGAAGCCAGCUUACUGUAGCGCCACUGACGCUGAUGCUCGAAAGUGCGGGUAUCGAACAGGAUUAGAUACCCUGGUAGUCCGCACGGUAAACGAUGGAUGCUCGCUGUGUGCAUUCGUGUACGCGGCCAAGGGAAACCAUUAAGCAUCCCACCUGGGGAGUACGCCGGCAACGGUGAAACUCAAAGGAAUUGACGGGGGCCCGCACAAGCGGAGGAACAUGUGGUUUAAUUCGAUGAUACGCGAGGAACCUUACCCGGGCUUGAAUUGCAGGGGAAGGAAUUGGAGACAAUGACGCCCUUCGGGGUCUCUGUGAAGGUGCUGCAUGGUUGUCGUCAGCUCGUGCCGUGAGGUGUCGGCUUAAGUGCCAUAACGAGCGCAACCCCUUUCAUUAGUUGCCAUCAGGUAAUGCUGGGCACUCUGGUGAUACUGCCACCGUAAGGUGUGAGGAAGGUGGGGAUGACGUCAAAUCAGCACGGCCCUUACGUCCGGGGCUACACACGUGUUACAAUGGCGCAUACAGAGAGUUGGUCUGCGGCAACACAGGUCUAAUCAAUAAAAUGCGUCGUAGUUCGGACUGGGGUCUGCAACCCGACCCCACGAAGCUGGAUUC
Molecule: ribosomal RNA, 789 nt
Filed under: uncultured Bacteroidota bacterium
Lineage: Bacteria; Pseudomonadati; Bacteroidota
Description: bacterial SSU rRNA
Rfam family: Bacterial small subunit ribosomal RNA
Source: RNAcentral